RNAcentral lists this ribosomal RNA (506 nucleotides) under uncultured bacterium. RNAcentral's name for it is "partial 16S ribosomal RNA". It matches the Rfam family "Bacterial small subunit ribosomal RNA", at positions 29 to 523 of the family's 1533-position model. The record is from RNAcentral.
AGUGAACGCUGGCGGUAGGCCUAACACAUGCAAGUCGAACGGCAGCACAGGAGAGCUUGCUCUCUGGGUGGCGAGUGGCGGACGGGUGAGGAAUACAUCGGAAUCUACUUUUUCGUGGGGGAUAACGUAGGGAAACUUACGCUAAUACCGCAUACGACCUCCGGGUGAAAGCAGGGGAUCUUCGGAACUUGCGCGAUUCAAUGAGCCGAUGUCGGAUUAGCUAGUUGGCGGGGUAAAGGCCCACCAAGGUGACGAUCCGUAGCUGGUCUGAGAGGAUGAUCAGCCACACUGGAACUGAGACACGGUCCAGACUCCUACGGGAGGCAGCAGUGGGGAAUAUUGGACAAUGGGCGCAAGCCUGAUCCAGCCAUACCGCGUGGGUGAAGAAGGCCUUCGGGUUGUAAAGCCCUUUUGUUGGGAAAGAAAUCCAGCUGGUUAAUACCCGGUUGGGAUGACGGUACCCAAAGAAUAAGCACCGGCUAACUACGUGCCAGCCGCCGCAGUAA